Long non-coding RNA from Cyprinus carpio (common carp), 2291 nucleotides. Lineage: Eukaryota; Metazoa; Chordata; Actinopteri; Cypriniformes; Cyprinidae. The record is from Ensembl.
AUGACACAGACUGGCUACACGAUCUCAUCUGCCGCAGAUACUGUAUCAGGCGGACAGCGCGUUUGUUUGAGGCACUUUUCACUUCAACUGUGUCUGACCGGAGAAUUAGCUUUUCUGAUCCUACUAGCCGUUGAGAGUUACCAUGGCAACCGCGGACACAUCAGCUGCUGGAGAGGAGAGGACUCGUCUGACACUUUCUCUGUUUCUCGUCAGUUAUACCAAAGAAAAGUUCAAGCAACAGAUUGGUUAAGUAACAUAUGUUAAUAUUAUCCACAGUCUACUUGUUAAUAUUUAUACCUCUGUGAUUAUGGUAUCUUUCCUUAAUUAUCUGAAAUGUCUGCUAGCAAAUAUUACGCUAGCGUAGAAACAUAAUUAUAGCAUAAUAGAUUUGAGCUCUUAUUAAUGAAAGUUUGGGCUUUUAAUGUCAUCUUAGCUAUCUUGAUAGCUUUGUAAAUGUUUCUGCUGAUAAUUUGUCAAUAGAUAAAUGGAAGUAAUCUAAGUAAUUUAACCUAAAAGUCUGCACUGUAGAGUCUAUCAGUGACGUCACUUGCAUGCAGUCUAAAAUGGGCUGAAACUAUUUCAAACCACUGUUUCAUUGUAAACAAAUAUUGAUAAAAAAAUUGUACUGAUUUCAGGAGGGUAUAAAAAACCCUCUAAAACAGAGGGGAAGUUCCAAGAAAAAUUCUACUGGAAGCUGCUGACAGACAUAUAAAAAACACAGGUGAUCAGAGAAAGCUUAUUAAAUAACUUCAUAUUUAUUUUUUACAAUAUAUCAUCAUGCAUCUGUAAAAUCUAAAAAUGUGAAUUGUGGUAUCUUAAGAUUUGUUUGUAUGUUUUCCAUAUUACUAUUGUUCUUUUCUGCAUUUCCCCUAUUCUCUAGUUUGUUUAUUUCUAAUAAGGAGUUGGAGGCCGUCGAGAAGCAGAUCCGUGACCUCAUGGAGAAGCAGGCUCAGCUGAGAGCCAUGCUGGAAACAUUCAGGGGUUGACGCUCAUAAGCACGCUGCUAACUCUCCCACCACCUCUACUCUGUGUGGUUCUCUGCACAGGCCCGGUGUACCCAGGACGCGAUCUUCCCAGAUGUCCUUCACCCCAUGCCACAGCGUAAGACAUGAGCCAGGUCCUGGGUGACGACCUCUCUCCCUCCGCUGCCUCCGGUCUUCGGGAACUCCACCGGAAACCUAUUUGCUCUAUUUCGCAAAACAGAACACGAUGCUGUGAUCAUCGGAGACUCCAACGUCCGGCACGUUCGUGCUAUGUUAGCUGAAGGUAAUGUGCACACUCACUGUUUCCCUGGUGCUCGUGUUCUUGAUAUUUCUGCACAGAUACCCACAAUCCUGGAGGGUGAAGAGAGCAUCGGAGCGGUCGUGCUUCACGCCGGGGUUAACGACACCAAGCUGCAGCAGACGGAGACACUAAAGAGGGACUUCAGGAGUCUGAUCGAGACGGUGCGCCGCAUAUCGCCUGCACGAUAAUCAUGGUGUCAGGACUGCUUCCAACGUAUCGACGAGGACACGAAAGGUUCAGUAGACUUUUUGCUCUAAAUGAAUGGUUAUUGUCAUGGUGUAAAGAACAGAAACUGCUCUUUGUUAAUAAUUGGAAUCUUUUCUGGGAGCGACCUAGGCUUUUUCGCGCUGAUGGCCUGCACCCCAGCAGAGACGGAGCGGAGCUGCUCUCAGACAACAUCUCCAGGACGCGACGCUCCAUAUGACUAGUAAGCCAAUUCUCAAAUAACUGCUAUGAUGGCUUUUGUUCUACCCACUUAAAUAGAAGUACUUGUGCUGUCCAAUCAAUGUUCCAGUGUUAAUUUUGACAGGCAUUUUUGAUUUAGCAUUAGUCUUUAUCUUGGGACGAGAAUGCUUAAUAGUCUUAGUCACAUUUUAGUCUUUUGAGUCUUUCAUAGUUUUAGUCUAGUCUUAGUCGAUGAAAAGUCAUUGCAUUUUUUUUCAACUUUUACUCAUUACUUUUAGUCAUUACUUUUAGUCAAACUGCAGUUACCAAAAUUUAUUUAUACUCGGAAUUUGUGCUCUGCAUUUAACCCAUCCAAAGUACACACACACAGCAGUUAACACACACACACGGAGCAGUGAGCAGCCAUUUUUUGCAGUUGGGGGUUCGGUGCCUUGCUCAAGAGCACCUCAGUCGUGGUACUGAAGGUUGGAGAAAGCGCUGUAGAUUCACUCCCCCCACCUACAAUCCCUGCCGGUAUGAGACUCGAACCCGCAACCUUUUUGGGUUACGAGUCCGACUGUAUUUUGAAUAAAAUAACAUUAUAGUCCCGUCUUAUUAACUAA